Orussus abietinus is the source of this 769-nucleotide long non-coding RNA. RefSeq lists it as uncharacterized. The transcript is spliced from 3 exons. Lineage: Eukaryota; Metazoa; Arthropoda; Insecta; Hymenoptera; Orussidae. The record is from RefSeq and is a predicted model, not a curated record.
CGAACAAUCGUGAGGACGUUUUCAUUCGAAGGCAUCUUUGCAAGGAUCUGUUUCCUAGAAGGAGCUAACUCCAUGUGCCACGGAUCGCGGUGGAUGAUGGGAUCAUUGACGAUACGUUUGGGUUUAUCAUCGACUAAACGGUAUGCGAGCAUGGAUAAAGUAGACCGCGGCCUUACCGAGGAACGUCGGUAAAUGGAGCCACGCAUGACUUCGGUUAAAGAGGAGCGUCCAAAAGCUUAUCAAAAUUUCAAUCAGGCUCAACGUUCAUUUGCAAAUCUAAACAUUCUUUAACAUUAAAUAUUACUAGCGCAUGCGAGUAUCCAGAGAGGUAUUCCGAUAAACUUUGGAUAUUUUCAGAUAUUCUGUCUGAAUGCACAGAAUGCAUACAGAUCGAUGGGAAAUUCAUUUAAUAUUGAAGAGGUAUCACUCUAUCUAACGUCAGAUUAGCUGGAUAGAACUAAUACAUUAUAAACCAGCAAGACAUUUCGUACGAAAACAAUAUUAAAACAGGAUCAAACAAUUAAGUAUGUACCGUCCGUGAGUAUGCGGGAGACAAACUUGUUUAUUUUAAAAAGAUACUCUACAAGGCAUAGUCAACUCGUGAAACUAAACAAGAUGUAACAAGGAUCGAGGAAUAUGUAAUGGGAGAUUUUAUUCAUUUUUAAAUCUCAAUGUAGUUAAGGAUUGACUACAAAAGCGUGUUUAGACCCUUGCGGCUGGUAGAUAAGAAGGAAUUUGUCGCCCUACCGCGAUAUGUCAUCGUUUUCAU